RNAcentral lists this ribosomal RNA (476 nucleotides) under uncultured organism. Its description in RNAcentral is "partial 16S ribosomal RNA". It matches the Rfam family "Bacterial small subunit ribosomal RNA", at positions 331 to 798 of the family's 1533-position model. The record is from RNAcentral.
GUACACUCCUGCGGGAGGCAGCAGUGGGGAAUUUUGGACAAUGGGCGAAAGCCUGAUCCAGCAAUGCCGCGUGAGUGAAGAAGGCCUUCGGGUUGUAAAGCUCUUUUGUCAGGGAAGAAACGGUGAAAGCUAAUAUCUUUUGCUAAUGACGGUACCUGAAGAAUAAGCACCGGCUAACUACGUGCCAGCAGCCGCGGUAAUACGUAGGGUGCAAGCGUUAAUCGGAAUUACUGGGCGUAAAGCGUGCGCAGGCGGUUUUGUAAGUCUGAUGUGAAAUCCCCGGGCUCAACCUGGGAAUUGCAUUGGAGACUGCAAGGCUAGAAUCUGGCAGAGGGGGGUAGAAUUCCACGUGUAGCAGUGAAAUGCGUAGAUAUGUGGAGGAACACCGAUGGCGAAGGCAGCCCCCUGGGUCAAGAUUGACGCUCAUGCACGAAAGCGUGGGGAGCAAACAGGAUUAGAAACCCCGGUAGUCCCAU